CGCUGGCGGCAUGCCUAACACAUGCAAGUCGAACGGUAACAGGUCUUCGGAUGCUGACGAGUGGCGCACGGGUGAGUAACGCGUGGAUAUCUGCCUAUGAGUGGGGGACAACUUUCGGAAACGAAAGCUAAUACCGCAUAAUCUCUACGGAGCAAAGCAGGGGACCUUUCGGGGCSUUGUGCUUAUAGAUGAGUCCGCGUCAGAUUAGCUAGUUGGUGGGGUAAGAGCCUACCAAGGCGAUGAUCUGUAGCUGGUUUGAGAGGAUGAUCAGUCACACUGGAACUGAGACACGGUCCAGACUCCUACGGGAGGCAGCAGUGGGGAAUUUUGCACAAUGGGCGCAAGCCUGAUGCAGCGAUGCCGCGUGUGGGAAGAAGGCCUUUGGGUUGUAAACCACUUUCAAUUGGGAAGAAGGGAUGAGUAUUAAUAAUACUCUGACUUGACGGUACCUUUAGAAGAAGCACCGGCUAAUUUCGUGCCAGCAGCCGCGGUAAUACGAAAGGUGCAAGCGUUGUUCGGAUUUACUGGGCGUAAAGAGAUCGUAGGUGGUUUGUUAAGUUAGAUGUGAAAUCCCGGGGCUCAACCUCGGAACUGCAUCUAAAACUGGCAGACUUGAGUUCGGGAGGGGUAAGCGGAAUUCCGUGUGUAGCAGUGAAAUGCGUAGAUAUACGGAGGAACACCUGAGGCGAAGGCGGCUUACUGGACCGAUACUGACACUGAGGAUCGAAAGCGUGGGUAGCAAACAGGAUUAGAUACCCUGGUAGUCCACGCCCUAAACGAUGUCAACUAGCCGUUGCGGGUAUCGACCCCUGCAGUGGCGCAGCUAACGCGAUAAGUUGACCGCCUGGGGAGUACGGUCGCAAGA
This 865-nucleotide ribosomal RNA is filed under the name uncultured Zetaproteobacteria bacterium. RNAcentral's name for it is "bacterial SSU rRNA". It matches the Rfam family "Bacterial small subunit ribosomal RNA", at positions 34 to 893 of the family's 1533-position model. The record is from RNAcentral. Lineage: Bacteria; Pseudomonadati; Pseudomonadota; Candidatius Mariprofundia.